Molecule: long non-coding RNA, 199 nt
Filed under: Capsicum annuum
Lineage: Eukaryota; Viridiplantae; Streptophyta; Magnoliopsida; Solanales; Solanaceae
Description: long non-coding RNA (CANN_LNC011142)
Source: RNAcentral
AUCGACGUGAUACCCGAUGUGUUACACCAUGAUCGCGCCAAGCCUCCGUAGUUUCACUGGCAGUCCCUGCAUAAUGUUAACCAAUGCGAUGGGUGAUGCGGUGCUCCAAGAUUACGUUGGUCCACUAUUUUGGCAUACCAAACAUGGUCUAAUCGAGGUCCAAAAAAUACAAAACUUGUCCGGGAACACCUAUUGACCU